UCCCUGGUGUAGAUGGUAAAGAAUCUGCCUGCAGUGCAGGAGACCCAGGUUCGAUCCCUGGUUUGGGAA
This 69-nucleotide transfer RNA is filed under the name Ovis aries (sheep). It matches the Rfam family "tRNA". From Rfam's summary of the family: Transfer RNA (tRNA) molecules are approximately 80 nucleotides in length. Their secondary structure includes four short double-helical elements and three loops (D, anti-codon, and T loops). The record is from Rfam by way of RNAcentral. Lineage: Eukaryota; Metazoa; Chordata; Mammalia; Artiodactyla; Bovidae.